UUCGCAAUGCCCGAAAGGGUGACGAAGCGACGCCGCGUGUGGGAAGAAGGCCUUCGGGUUGUAAACCACUGUCGGGAGUUAAGAAAUGCAAGAAUGUUAAUAGCGUUUUUGCUUGACUAAGGCUCCGGAGGAAGCCACGGCUAACUCUGUGCCAGCAGCCGCGGUAAUACAGAGGCGGCAAGCGUUGUUCGGAAUUAUUGGGCGUAAAGAGCACGUAGGCGGCUAUAUAAGUCGGUUGUGAAAGCCUUCCGCUCAACGGGAGAACAGCAUCCGAUACUGUAUGGCUUGAGUGUGGGAGGGGAGAGCGGAACUUCUGGUGGAGCGGUGAAAUGCGUAGAUAUCAGAAGGAACGCCGGCGGCGAAAGCGGCUCUCUGGCCCAUAACUGACGCUGAGUGUGCGAAAGCUAGGGGAGCAAACGGGAUUAGAUACCCCGGUAGUCCUAGCCGUAAAC
This 452-nucleotide ribosomal RNA is filed under the name uncultured bacterium. RNAcentral describes it as "bacterial SSU rRNA". It matches the Rfam family "Bacterial small subunit ribosomal RNA", at positions 365 to 807 of the family's 1533-position model. The record is from RNAcentral.